This is a long non-coding RNA of Brienomyrus brachyistius, 2038 nucleotides long. RefSeq lists it as uncharacterized. The record is from RefSeq and is a predicted model, not a curated record. NCBI's taxonomy places the organism in Eukaryota, Metazoa, Chordata, Actinopteri, Osteoglossiformes, Mormyridae. The transcript is spliced from 2 exons.
AUACUCGCUGUGGUGCGGCUGAGAUACCGCGCGCAGGUACAGCGGGUUAGCAUACUCGCUGUGGUGCGGCUGAGAUACCGCGCGCAGGUACAGCGGGUUAGCAUACUCGCUGUGGUGCGGCUGAGAUACCGCGCGCAGGUACAGCGGGUUAGCAUACUCGCUGUGGUGCGGCUGAGAUACCGCGCGCAGGUACAGCGGGUUAGCAUACUCGCUGUGGUGCGGCUGAGAUACCGCGCGCAGGUACAGCGGGUUAGCAUACUCGCUGUGGUGCGGCUGAGAUACCGCGCGCAGGUACAGCGGGUUAGCAUACUCGCUGUGGUGCGGCUGAGAUACCGCGCGCAGGUACAGCGGGUUAGCAUACUCGCUGUGGUGCGGCUGAGAUACCGCGCGCAGGUACAUCGGGUUAGCAUACUCGCUGUGGUGCGGCUGAGAUACCGCGCGCAGGUACAGCGGGUUAGCAUACUCGCUGUGGUGCGGCUGAGAUACCGCGCGCAGGUACAGCGGGUUAGCAUACAAGUACACAGUAGUUGAUAUAAAGGGAGUUGAGUAUGGGACUCAGUAUGCAAGCUUGCGGUGUGUUCAGGCUUAUGGUGGAGGAGAAAUGAGCACCCAGCCAUACCACCUGAUGACAGUCUGACAGGAAGCUGAGGAUCCAGUUAUAUAGUGGUAUGUUGAGGACCAGCUGCUACAGUUUUUGGAUGAACUGGCAGGCAACAAUAGUAUUGAAAGCAGAGCUAUAGUCUACAAAUGGCAUCCUGAGGUGUUUGCCCUGUCCCCCCAGAUGAGUCACGGCACUGUGGAGAGCUACAGAGAUGGUAUCCUCUGUAGACCUAUUAGCUAUGUAAGAAAAUCAGGAUGAUGGUGAUGAUGUUGGCUUUAAUGUAAGAGAAAAUAAGCCUUUCAAAGUGCUACAUUAUUAUUGGUGUCAGAGCGAUAGGAUGAUAGUGAUUCAUGUACCUGAUGUGUUGUUUUCUUUGGCACUGGCACAGUGAUGGCUGAUUUAAGGCAGGCAGGGACCAUUUCCAACGUCAAGGAGAGAUUAGAGAUAUUAGUAAAUGCCUCAGGAAGCAGCUGGGUCUCCAUCCAGUCCAGCAGCUUUGCAUGGACUGACCUUUUGCACCAUUGUACAUUAUAUGUGCUCAGUCUGUAGGUGGCAGACCUUACAUCUUUUGUGGCUGUAAUCUUUACAGGUGGCCUGGGGUUUCUGGAUUCAAAACUGGCAAAAACUGUGUCGGCCAAUGUGACAUCACUGUGGGUGGAGCCAGGGCUGCCUGUAUGUGGGAAACAGGAGUCGUGCAGCUGGAAUGGACGGCUGUAUAGCUGAGGCGGCACUGUUGGAGGAGAGUGACAUGGAGGAUCAGCUGCCCCCCUCCUCUGAAAGGCCUUUGCUGGCCUCGGGACCCCCCAGCCCAGGGUACUACCCUCUCAUUCCGGCCGCUUACACAAGGACAGUUAAACCACAUCUCUCCCUGGACCAGAAAGAUAUUCUUUUCAAGCCUACUAUAAAAAGAAACUUGCUAAAGCUGCUUUUCCAGUGAUUUCAAGCUUCCAAAGCUUCCCCUUCCAAAGAACACAUUAACUUUCUCCCCCUUUUUGUUUUCUUUCAAAGAUCCUUCCUGAAGUCACCAGACACCACUGCUGUUACUCACCAUGCACUGGGUACCAGUUAAAUUGCUCAGAUCUGAUCAUACAGAAACUCUCCCCUAUUGUUAAUUUAGCUGUUAAAUGCUGAGUUUCACGCCAGAGCUGCUAAUUUCCUUACAGAGCUAAAUUAAGCUCUUGCCUCUUGACAGCUCUUUUCUGGUGUCACACAAAAAGAGAUCUUUGUCUCUGUGAUAUAAUGUUCCCUCUCUGAGAAGUGUGCAAGGCUUCAAGUGAAAAGCUUACUUCAGCUGGUAUUUGAAGUGCAAUAAAAUGUUCUUCCACUAUAGGGGCAGAGACAGAAUUGGGUCUCGCCUGAUUUUAUGAUGCCACACGAGGCAGGUAACAUUUGGCUCUUGUUCUUACUGCACUUAUUCAAAACAAUGUUUACAAAGUA